RNAcentral lists this ribosomal RNA (427 nucleotides) under uncultured bacterium. RNAcentral's name for it is "bacterial SSU rRNA". It matches the Rfam family "Bacterial small subunit ribosomal RNA", at positions 355 to 774 of the family's 1533-position model. The record is from RNAcentral.
UGGGGAAUUUUGGACAAUGGGCGCAAGCCUGAUCCAGCCAUGCCGCGUGCAGGAUGAAGGCCUUCGGGUUGUAAACUGCUUUUGUACGGAACGAAAAGCCUCUUUCUAAUAAAGAGGGGUGAUGACGGUACCGUAAGAAUAAGCACCGGCUAACUACGUGCCAGCAGCCGCGGUAAUACGUAGGGUGCGAGCGUUAAUCGGAAUUACUGGGCGUAAAGCGUGCGCAGGCGGUCUUGCAAGACAGUGGUGAAAUCCCCGGGCUCAACCUGGGAACUGCCAUUGUGACUGCAAGGCUGGAGUACGGCAGAGGGGGAUGGAAUUCCGCGUGUAGCAGUGAAAUGCGUAGAUAUGCGGAGGAACACCGAUGGCGAAGGCAGUCCCCUGGGCCUGUACUGACGCUCAUGCACGAAAGCGUGGGGAGCAAACA